This is an RNA transcript of Prosopis cineraria, 2456 nucleotides long. It is a transcript of the gene named glycine--tRNA ligase, mitochondrial 1-like, with no coding region annotated. The transcript is spliced from 10 exons. The record is from RefSeq and is a predicted model, not a curated record. Lineage: Eukaryota; Viridiplantae; Streptophyta; Magnoliopsida; Fabales; Fabaceae.
UAUCUGGCGUCGCAUGCUUUGGCUUAGAACUCUAUCCACAUCGAAUUUACUUGGUCUCCGGUCUCUCGUCCGCCGUCGCUCAUCGUCGAUGGACGCCGUCGAGGAAUCACUUCGCAAAGCCUUGUCUGAAAAGCUAUCCGCUGUGGAAGCGCAGGGAAAUGCUGUCCGAGCUCUCAAAGCCGCCGCCGUCUCCUCCUCUGCGUCCAAGCAGGAAAUCGAUGCCGCCAUUGAAACCCUCAACAAAUUGAAGCUGGACAAGGCUUCGAUUGAGAAACAGCUCCAAGCACACAUCGGCGGCGCCGGCCGUGACGGUUCCAUUAGUAAGGAAGCAUUCCGUCAAGCGGUUGUUAACACUCUGGAGCGGCGUUUGUUUUACAUACCCUCCUUUAAGAUUUACCGGGGUGUUGCUGGGCUUUACGAUUAUGGACCACCUGGUUGCUCCAUUAAGUCCAAUGUCCUUAGCUUCUGGCGUCAGCAUUUUGUUCUUGAGGAGAACAUGUUGGAGGUUGACUGCCCAUGCGUGACACCUGAAGUUGUACUCAAGGCAUCAGGUCAUGUGGAUAAAUUCACUGACCUCAUGGUGAAGGAUGAGAAAACUGGGACAUGCUACCGAGCUGAUCACUUGCUCAAGGAUUAUUGCAAUGAAAAAUUACAGAAGGACCUGAGCAUGGCUCCAGAAAAGGUUGCAGAACUCAAGCAUGUAUUAGCCACCUUGGAUGAUCUCUCUUCUGAAGAGCUGGGUGUGAAGAUCAAGGAGUAUGGUAUUACAGCUCCAGACACAAAGAAUCCACUUUCUGAUCCUUAUCCAUUUAAUUUAAUGUUCCAGACAUCUAUUGGCCCAUCUGGUUUGCUUCCUGGGUAUAUGCGCCCUGAAACUGCGCAAGGCAUCUUUGUUAAUUUCAAAGACUUGUACUAUUUCAAUGGGAAUAAACUCCCAUUUGCUGCAGCCCAAAUUGGACAGGCAUUUAGAAAUGAGAUAUCUCCCCGCCAAGGCCUUCUCAGAGUCCGUGAAUUCACAUUGGCAGAAAUUGAGCACUUUGUUGAUCCAGAAGAUAAAUCCCAUCCAAAAUACUCAGAAGUUGCCAGCUUAGAGUUUCUUAUGUUCCCAAGGGAGGAGCAAAUGUCUGGUCAAUCUGCAAAGAUGAUACGCCUUGGUGAUGCUGUUUCCAAGGGAAUUGUCAAUAAUGAGACGCUUGGUUACUUCAUUGGAAGAGUAUAUCUUUUCUUGACUCGUCUUGGUAUAGAUAAAGAACGUUUACGAUUCAGACAACACCUUGCUAAUGAGAUGGCCCAUUAUGCUUGUGACUGCUGGGAUGCUGAAAUUGAGUGUUCCUAUGGUUGGAUUGAGUGUGUUGGCAUUGCAGAUAGGUCUGCAUAUGAUUUGCAUGCUCACACGGAGAAGAGUGGUGUUCCUCUAGUAGCUUCUGAAAAAUUUGCAGAACCUAAGGAAGUGGAGAAAUUGGUUAUAGCUCCUGUAAAAAAAGAGUUGGGUCUAGCUUUCAAGGCAAAUCAAAAGAAGGUGGUUGAAUCGCUUGAGGCUAUGAAGGAGAAGGAAGCUUUGGAUAUGAAGGCAGCUUUGGAAUCCAAAGGGGAAGUAGAGUUUUAUGUCUGUACACUUGAGAAAAAUGUGACUAUUAAGAAAAAUAUGGUGACUAUUAACAAGGAGACAAAAAAAGAACACCAGAGAGUUUUUACACCAUCUGUAAUUGAACCAUCCUUCGGAAUUGGACGGAUAAUAUAUUGCCUGUUUGAGCACUCUUUCUACAUGAGGCCAAGUAAAGCCGGGGAUGAGCAAUUAAAUGUAUUCCGCUUUCCCCCUAUUGUGGCUCCUAUUAAAUGCACAGUUUUCCCACUAGUCCAGAACCAGCAAUAUGAAGCGGUUGCUAAAUCAAUUUCCAAGUCAUUGACGGCAGCUGGAAUUUCACAUAAGAUUGAUGUGACGGGUACGUCGAUAGGAAAGCGAUAUGCAAGAACAGAUGAACUUGGUGUUCCCUUUGCAAUCACUGUAGAUUCAGAAUCAUCAGUGACUAUUAGGGAGAGAGACAGUAAAGAUCAAGUGCGUGUGAAUGUGGAAGAAGCUGCCUCAGUUGUUAAGGAGGUGGCGGAAGGCCACAGGACAUGGGCUGAUGUGUGGUCAACGUUUCCUCAUCAUUCCUCUGCAUCCCAGGAGGAUUGAGGAUAAUGUGUGGUCAACGUCUCUCGCUCGGGUUGACUCAUUCACGUUCAUUUUCGUGAUAUUGUUUGAGUAAUGAAUCCAACUACAAAAAGUUAUCGUGGUAUUUGAGGAUGAACAUGGUACGUGCCCCUUUAAUUUCAGAAUUCUGACCAGCAUUGAUCACCCACCAGCGAUGGUCUUGUUUUUAGGCCCAAUAUCUUUACGUCAAAAUAUAGUUUCCAAUUUUCCAUCUAGUCUCUUGAUCUCAUAGUUAUGUUUCAGAAUUUAUUGGGCAUAAUUU